Molecule: transfer RNA, 74 nt
Filed under: Cyclobacteriaceae bacterium
Lineage: Bacteria; Pseudomonadati; Bacteroidota; Cytophagia; Cytophagales; Cyclobacteriaceae
Description: tRNA-Arg
Rfam family: tRNA
About the family: Transfer RNA (tRNA) molecules are approximately 80 nucleotides in length. Their secondary structure includes four short double-helical elements and three loops (D, anti-codon, and T loops).
Source: RNAcentral
GGACCCGUAGCAUAACUGGAUAGUGCCCUUGACUACGAAUCAAGAGGUUGUGGGUUCGAAUCCCGCCGGGUUCA